GAUGAACGCUGGCGGCGUGCCUAAUACAUGCAAGUCGAGCGAACAGAUAAGGCGCUUGCUCCUUUGACGUUAGCGGCGGACGGGUGAGUAACACGUGGGUAACCUACCUAUAAGACUGGGAUAACUUCGGGAAACCGGAGCUAAUACCGGAUAACAUUUGGAACCGCAUGGUUCUAAAGUGAAAGCUGGUUUUGCUAUCACUUAUAGAUGGACCCGCGCCGUAUUAGCUAGUUGGUAAGGUAACGGCUUACCAAGGCGACGAUACGUAGCCGACCUGAGAGGAUGAUCGGCCACACUGGAACUGAGACACGGUCCAGACUCCUACGGGAGGCAGCAGUAGGGAAUCUUCCGCAAUGGGCGAAAGCCUGACGGAGCAACGCCGCGUGAGUGAUGAAGGGUUUCGGAUCGUAAAACUCUGUUAGUAGGGAAGAACAAAAGUGUAAGUAACUGUGCACGUCUUGACGUUACCAAAUCAGAAAGCCACGGCUAACUACGUG
This 497-nucleotide ribosomal RNA is filed under the name uncultured bacterium. RNAcentral describes it as "partial 16S ribosomal RNA". It matches the Rfam family "Bacterial small subunit ribosomal RNA", at positions 28 to 507 of the family's 1533-position model. The record is from RNAcentral.